AAAACACCCAAGGUAACAUCUUUCACUAGUGUUUACAACAUCAUUUGGUGUUGGUGUUGAUGUUUAUCUUCUGUUUGCCUAUCCUUCAUUAUCAUUUUAUGGCUCAUGCCUGCCAGAAAGACUGUAAAUUCCUUUAAAACUGGGGCUGGGUUAUUUUGUAACCUCCACAGCACUAGUGAGUUCCCUGCACAUACCAGGGGUAAAGAGUUAGUAGACCUGUUCUGUUCAUUGGCUCAUCUGUGGUAGCUUCAGCAAAUCACUUUAUUCAAAGCGUCAGUUCGCCUCCAGUUGCAUGAUCUACUGGGUCUUAGGCCAACUAAUGACAGAGAACACUUUGCAAAGACAAAAUUUCAAGGUGAUACUCAAGUUACCAACAUGUUAUGCAUUCUUUAUUUUGUAGCUCUUUCUUUGUGAGUGACCAGUUGAAUAAUAAGCUUCUCAUACCCUCAGAAACUGAAUCUUUUAAUAUGCAUAUAAAACAUACAUUCAAGGCAGCAGGCCAAGGAGUGUCUUCUUGCUGCACUUGGCACGCAGAUCUGCAAUUAAAUACUGUUUUUGAAUAACAGAUGACAUUCUAAGCAGAUAGCUGCCAAGACAUACCAUUUGGACCUUGUUCUAAUUAAUUCCUUGCAAAUGAUAAAUUUUCUGUUCUUUGCCCUUCUGCCUACAUUUUCUCCUCCUUUGCGAAGCUUCAUCUGACAGUGAAGAUGAAACAAAUCAUGAUGGUAUUUAUUCUGCUUGUGUUGCAGCAUUUAGAAAUUUGUAGCUC
Molecule: long non-coding RNA, 769 nt
Filed under: Bos taurus (domestic cattle)
Lineage: Eukaryota; Metazoa; Chordata; Mammalia; Artiodactyla; Bovidae
Description: long non-coding RNA NONBTAT004771
Source: RNAcentral